UAAUGUUAUUGGUUGAAGAUGGUUCUUCUCACAUGGCAUCACACUGAACACCAAGAGCUUUCCAUACAUAUUCGUUACAUUACAACCUCAAAGCUCUUCACGAAAGAAGCGUUUUUUCCCGACCUUCGAAAUCAAGGGCAUUCACAAAGGGGGGAUUUUUUUCCCCUACGGCUGUUGGAGCAAUUAAUUUUCCCAAACCAGCUGUUUUGGUUCAGGUGCUCUUUCGUACAAGGCAGUGUAAGUGAUUGUAGAAG
Vigna umbellata (rice bean) is the source of this 254-nucleotide non-coding RNA. The record is from RefSeq and is a predicted model, not a curated record. Lineage: Eukaryota; Viridiplantae; Streptophyta; Magnoliopsida; Fabales; Fabaceae.